GUAGGGAAUAUUGCGCAAUGGGGGAAACCCUGACGCAGCGACGCCGCGUGAGUGAUGAAGGCCUUCGGGUUGUAAAGCUCUGUGGGGAGGGAAGAAAAAGCGGGAGAGUAACUGCUCUCGUGUUGACGGUACCUCCUUAGCAAGCACCGGCUAACUCUGUGCCAGCAGCCGCGGUAAUACAGAGGGUGCAAACGUUGCUCGGAAUUACUGGGCGUAAAGCGCGUGUAGGCUGACAUGCAAGUCGGGUGUGAAAUCCCAGGGCUCAACCUUGGAACUGCACUCGAAACUGCACGUCUUGAGUACUGGAGAGGGAAGCGGAAUUCCGGGUGUAGAGGUGAAAUUCGUAGAUAUCCGGAGGAACACCAGUGGCGAAGGCGGCUUCCUGGACAGUAACUGACGCUGAGACGCGAAAGCGUGGGGAGCAAACAGGAUUAGAAACCCCGGUAGUCC
This 450-nucleotide ribosomal RNA is filed under the name uncultured bacterium. RNAcentral describes it as "partial 16S ribosomal RNA". It matches the Rfam family "Bacterial small subunit ribosomal RNA", at positions 354 to 796 of the family's 1533-position model. The record is from RNAcentral.